CCGCCAUCAAAGAGGCACAAACGGGCACUGGAGGGGGUCGUCUGCCAGGCUUCCGUGGUCGCGUGUUGCAACUCACCGGGUUGGCACGCUUCGGUGGCGUCUUCGGUUCCCUCGAAUAUCAACAGCAGGCGGAUGUUCCCGCUCCUGCAAUGGAGGUCGAGGUGGA
Molecule: long non-coding RNA, 166 nt
Organism: Rhipicephalus microplus (southern cattle tick)
Lineage: Eukaryota; Metazoa; Arthropoda; Arachnida; Ixodida; Ixodidae
Source: RefSeq, a predicted model, not a curated record